CGUGUAGGCGGGCAAUCAAGUCAGAUGUAAAAGGCGACGGCUUAACCGUAGUAUGUCAUCUGAUACUGGUUGUCUUGAGUCCGAGAGAGGGUGGUGGAAUUCCCGGUGUAGCGGUGAAAUGCGUAGAUAUCGGGAAGAACACCUGAAGCGAAGGCGGCCACCUGGAUCGACACUGACGCUGAGGCGCGAAAGCGUGGGUAGCAAACA
This 207-nucleotide ribosomal RNA is filed under the name uncultured bacterium. Its description in RNAcentral is "partial 16S ribosomal RNA". It matches the Rfam family "Bacterial small subunit ribosomal RNA", at positions 568 to 774 of the family's 1533-position model. The record is from RNAcentral.